CUCCCAACCAAGCCCUCCAGCAAGGAUUCAGGGUGCCCCUCCGGCCUCGCCAUGAGGCUCUUCCUGUCGCUCCCGGUCCUGGUGGUGGUUCUGUCGAUCGUCUUGGAAGGCCCAGCCCCAGCCUAGGGGGCUCCAGAAGUCUCCAACCCCUUUGAUGGCCUGGAGGAGUUAGGAAAGACCCUGGAGGACUACACUCGGGAAUUCAUCAACCGCAUCACACAGAGUGAACUUCCUGCCAAGAUGUGGGAUUGGUUUUCAGAGACAUUUCGGAAAGUGAAGGAGAAACUCAAGACUGACUCAUGAGGACCUGAAGGGUGACAUCCCAGGAGGGGCCUCUGAAAUUUCCAACACCCCAGCGCCUGUACUGAGGACGCCCUCCAUGUGUGUCCAAUGUGGUCACACGCCCAGGUGUGACCAAUAAAAAUCCUAUGGAAAAUUCUCUCUGGCCAGGCAUGGUGGCUGACGCCUGUAAUCCCAGCACUUUGGGAGGCUGAGGCGGGCGGAUCACAAGGUCAGGAGAUUGAGCCCAUCCUGGCUAACACGGUGAAACCCCGUCUCUACUAAAAAUACAAAAAAAAUAGCCAAGCGUGGUGGCAGGCGCCUGUAGUCCCAGCUAUUCGGGAGGCUGAGGCAGGAGAAUCGCUUGAAACCGGGAGGUGGAGCUUGCAGUGAGCUGAGAUCGUGCCACUGCACUGCAGCCUGGGUGACAAGAGCCAGACUCCGCGUCAAAAAAAAAAAAGAAAAGAAAA
Molecule: long non-coding RNA, 749 nt
Organism: Homo sapiens (human)
Lineage: Eukaryota; Metazoa; Chordata; Mammalia; Primates; Hominidae
Gene: APOC1P1
Product: apolipoprotein C1 pseudogene 1
Source: Ensembl